Lactuca sativa (garden lettuce) is the source of this 3193-nucleotide long non-coding RNA. RefSeq lists it as uncharacterized. The record is from RefSeq and is a predicted model, not a curated record. Lineage: Eukaryota; Viridiplantae; Streptophyta; Magnoliopsida; Asterales; Asteraceae.
ACUUAUAACUUAGUAGAAGAAAAUAAAAUUAUAAAACUAAGAAAAUAUAUGAUCUUAUUCCAUUUGAACUCAUAUUACACACAACACCGCUAAAGGUCAAAACAGGAAAUUCAGUUAAAUAAGGAAUAAACCCUCUGUAUAAAAACAGAGCUUCAUCUCCUAAUUAGGGUUUGGGGCAAACAAAAUUACUCAGACGAUAAAUGAGGCGGUAGAGGGAAGGGAUGUUUCGUAAGGGUGGUUGCCCCCCUCCGCCGCUAAUGAUUUUCCGUUUUGCUCCCAAAAUCAACACCCUCUUUUGGCAUUAACAUUAUGCAUAUAUCGUCACCAAAAAAAAAAAAAAAAAAAAAACACGUCGAUGAAUCGAUGGGUUGAUAGAUCGCUUCUUUUUCUUCUUCUUCUUCAUCUUCAACCAUCAAACAGCUGUGCAAUAUCCAUCGAAUUGGAAAAUCUCAUAACCCAUCCCAGUUGGGGUGUUUGGCUGUGAGAUUUCUAACCCGAUAAUCACAGGACCAUUUAUGUAAUUUUGUCUUUAUUUUAUACAAACAAAGCGUGUGUUUGCGAUUGCUUUUUAAGACAACUCAUGUUUUGUUUGUUUUUCAUAAAAGUGCUUAAUGGGGGCGUUGAUGAUGUAUUCUAAGUGUCUGAGUUAAUCAGGCAAAGUUGAGAUUUACUGCAACUUGGCGGGGCAUUUUCCGGCGGUUUCUGUAUUUGAUUCAGCCGUGAUGUAUGUAUGCAGCCAUGGCGGUUUAAUCCUCUUUGUUCUGAUACGUAUAUACAGAUCUGAGCCUCAUUCUUUAUUAAAUUAAAUUUUAAAUCUUUCAAUCGAUUUUGUUAACCCUAAUUUUUUUGGUCGUUUUAUUUUUCAGUAGUUAAUUUGGUACAUAUUUGCCAUUUGUUUAGUUUUCCUUAGAAAAACAUAAUUUAUUGCUUAAAACCUUUGAAAUGUUGUGAUAACCAAUCCAACGAUAAGAGUUUUUUAGGUAUAUUUUUGAUGUAUUUCUGUAAUAGUAUCUACUUUUGUUGCCACUUGUGUUUUAGAGGUUUACAUUCACAAGUCAUUAAAAGACAUCUCUGUGUGGUAAUUGGAUUUUAGGGUGUUUGAGAGUAGUAAUUAAAUUGUAAAUUUUAUAUAACUUAUGAGUGAUUAAAUUCAUAAAAGAGAAGGUAUUGUCUUUUAUUGAGCAAAUGCAAAUUGAAUAGGUAUACUUCAUACAAAGGAACAAAAUUGAAAAUUGUAUAAAUAACAAAAAUUACAAAAAAAAAAACGUUGUUUAUGUUAAUUUUGAUUGCUAUCUUUGAUUUUUGAUGAAACCUUCCAAGUUCAUUGCCAUGUGGGAUAAUUAAAGUUACUGGUUUGGUGAUAGUUUUGAUAAUUUGUAAAUAGUUUAUUGCUAUUUUGGUGAAGAUCCAUAGUUCAUUGCAUACUGGAUUGGAUGUUCUUUACAUUUGAAGAAGCCAUCGAAGUUCAUUGCCAUAUUGGAGCAGAUUGUGAAUUAUAAUAGAAGAUUACAAUGCUAUUUGCAUUGUUGCAUAUAAAGUCCCCAAAAUUUGGAGCAUUUGGUUAGGUUAUGUAUUCAGUUCUUGUGUCUCAUGUUAUUAUGUAAUACAAUUUGUAAUCGGCUAACUUCCUCCUGGUUUUAGUUUUGUAAUUAAAAUUUAUGCCGUUAUAGAAAAAGAUUACUUAAAUAUCUCUAUUCUUAAUCUCUUCUCUAUCCUUAAUAAAAGACUUUCUAAAUUGCCACAUGUCACCAUUUUACACCAUCUUCUUGCUACGUGUCAUUACCACACCUCUGUUUAGCUUGCUUUUACUGUCUAUUCAAUGCAAUCAAUACUCGACAUCAUCCACUCCUAUUAAUCGGCAAAUCAGUUUUAAUACUCCCAUUUCCUGUGCCUCCCCCACCUUCUUUUUCUGCCGUUUUUAAAGUUCUCGGCAUAAAAGCAGGGAUAUACCUAAAUCUAUUUCUAUCUACAUCUUAAGAAAUCAACAACCAAAGCCUAUCCAAAAUUGAAUCUACCACUUUUAAUUGAUUACAAAUACAAACAAUUUGUUAGAUGUUGAUUUCAAUUUUGUAGAUUUAUGUUUUUUGAUUUUUUUUUUUUAAAUUCUGUUUUUGAAACCUCCCAUCUCAAUCGACCUUCUUUCUCCAUAGGUCAAAAAUUUAUAGCUAUCUGUGAGAGGUUAGUUAUGUUUCUGUCGAGCAGACAAAGAUUUAUCUAGAUUGAUAUGGGUGAAAAGGAAAACCUUAAUUGUUGUUGGGGAAAUCAUUUGGAUUUUUGCAUAUAGAGUUCAUUUCACACUCUUCUUUGUCUUAUUUCUUGCUUCUUUUUGUUUACAGAGCUCAAUCCAGAAGUUUUCAUCCACGGGUAAGGUAGUCUGAUCACAGUUUUCAUGUUAAUAACUAUUUUUCGUCUUCUAUCCUUCUAUUAACAUAGUUCUAAUUUUUAUUAAAACUGUUUUGAGUAGAAAUUCAUUUGAAACUUUUAAUCGUUUGUUGAAAUCAAAGCCCUUUUUUCUCAAUAAAAUAUCUUUGGUCUAGUGUGUAGUGCCUCUUCUAUAGAACAUCAGCAGAAAAGGUAUGUGUAUUUGGUUUCGAGUUUUUGCUUGAUAAAGAGCAGUUGCCUGAUCAAUUGUUAAGAGCAGUUGCCUAAUCAAUUGUUAAGGGUUACAGUGGGUAUGUUGUUGAACAUGGUGAAAAAGGUAUGUGUAUUUGGUAGUUUUUAUGGAUUAUAAUUAUGAUUUUAAAGCAAUCAAAUAUACAUAUUUUAAAUUGGUUUUGAAACUCCAGUUAUAUAUUAGUGACAAAUUGAGCUUAUGAUAAUAGUUAAUCAACACUUAUGCUAUUUAUAUGAUCGAGAAUACUGGUUGGAGUCGAGUCAAAAGACAAUCCGACUAGGGUUCUAUGAAGGCAUGAUUCUGGCUGGAAAUGGUUGAGCAAAGAUGAUGAAUAAGAACAAACAAGGUUAGAUGUGUUUGAUUUGUCAACAAGACUAUUGAUCUUAAAAACUUGGUUUGUCGAAGGCCGGGUUAAAGCAGUCUAAAAAAGCGUGUCUUUCUUAUGAUCAUUUUCUGAGUACAAUGUUUCUCUAUGUAGGUUCAAUAAUGCUCUAAACAUUUUUUUGAAUAUCAAGGAAAACGUGUCCAAUAAAUGCAAAUGAUGCGGAAGAAAUGAAAGUACACUGCUAUAAACCGAUA